UACGAAGGGGGCUAGCGUUGUUCGGAAUCACUGGGCGUAAAGGGUGCGCAGGCGGGUUCAUAAGUUAGUGGUGAAAUCCCGAGGCUCAACCUCGGAACUGCCUGUGAUACUGUGGAUCUUGAGUCCGGAAGGGGCGAGUGGAACUGCGAGUGUAGAGGUGAAAUUCGUAGAUAUUCACAAGAACACCGGUGGCGAAGGCGGGUCACUGGUCCGGAACUGACGCUGAGGCACGAAAGCGUGGGGAGCAAACAGG
This 253-nucleotide ribosomal RNA is filed under the name uncultured bacterium. Its description in RNAcentral is "partial 16S ribosomal RNA". It matches the Rfam family "Bacterial small subunit ribosomal RNA", at positions 524 to 776 of the family's 1533-position model. The record is from RNAcentral.